AUAUCAAUAAGCGGAGGAAAAGAAACCAACAGGGAUUGCCUCAGUAACGGCGAGUGAAGCGGCAAUUGCUCAAAUUUGAAAUCUGGUCCCCUUGGGGCCCGAAUUGUAAUUUGCAGAGGAUGCUUCGGUGAGGACGCUGGCCCAAGUCCCCUGGAACGGGACGUCAUAGAGGGUGAGAACCCCGUCCGGCCGCGCGACCAAACCAUGUGUUGCUCCUUCAACGAGUCGAGUUGUUUGGGAAUGCAGCUCAAAAUGGGUGGUAAAUUCCAUCUAAGGCUAAAUACUGGCCAGAGACCGAUAGCGCACAAGUAGAGUGAUCGAAAGAUGAAAAGCACUUUGAAAAGAGAGUUAAAAAGCACGUGAAAUUGUUGAAAGGGAAGCGCUUGCUGCCAGAUCCUUCCGUGACUGUUCAAUCGGCCUCUUAUGGCCGACUUAAUCUUUCACGGCUAGGGCCAGCAUCGGUUUAGGUGGUUGGAUAAAGGCCCUGGGAAUGUGACCCUUCAGGGUGUUAUAGCCCUGGGUGCAAUGCGACCUGCUUAGACCGAGGGAAGCGAUUUUUUCCAGGAUGCUGGCUUAAUGGUUGCAAGCGG
This 590-nucleotide ribosomal RNA is filed under the name uncultured fungus. Its description in RNAcentral is "eukaryotic LSU rRNA". It matches the Rfam family "Eukaryotic large subunit ribosomal RNA", at positions 40 to 647 of the family's 3401-position model. The record is from RNAcentral. Lineage: Eukaryota; Fungi.